Molecule: long non-coding RNA, 1207 nt
Filed under: Junco hyemalis (dark-eyed junco)
Lineage: Eukaryota; Metazoa; Chordata; Aves; Passeriformes; Passerellidae
Description: lncRNA (ENSJHYG00000010245.1)
Source: RNAcentral
GUCCUGGAAGCUUGGUGAAGCAUUGAACCCUAAAACAGCUUAGCACGGCCAAAACAUGGCAAGAAGCAGAAACUUGGAGGAUUUUAGGCAUGUCUGGUUGUCAUUUGUAACAUCGCGGUCAUUGCUUUUGGCCAGGCUGGCAACACCUUGGAAGAUGCCAAGGCAAUUUCUGGCAGAGGAAUGCUGCUGAGGAUCAUCCUGUCUGUUGGGUUCAAUUUCAACAGGCUUUUCCCUGAUGUGAAUGCCUCUGGAAAUCCUGCCUACCCCCAUGUUCCAGCUACCAAAGCCUCACCAGGGUUCAGAGUGCUCUCACCAACUGCGGUCUCACUGUGAUGGGGUGGAGGAGCCACACUCUGCUCCCAGCUCAGCUGCAGUCUCCUGCUUUUCUAUCAGCCCUGACAGCCAGCCUGCAGCAAACCCUGCAUGACAUGUGCUGAGGUAAGAGAGAGGGAAAGCUUGGAUCAAAGCUGUGUUUGCACGUUCUGGUAAGCUCUGAUUGUAUCUGGUUGUCUGACAAGUCACUUUUACACUCCUUGGGUAUGUUUCAGAGGGAAAAGGGAGAGCUGUGCUUUGUCAUAGGCGUGUUCAGUGGUAACCUGCAGCAGUGUGAAGGGUGGUGAGAUGAGACAAUGUGCUUUGUUAAGGAAAACCCACCUGGCAAUGGGCCACAGACUGCUGGAGGCAGCCUGCUCGCAGUGACCGUGCCAGUGGGGAGGGUUGGACCCAGCCUUCCCAAACCCACAAGUGCCUGUCUCCUGGCAUGGCACCUCUGCCUGUGCUCCACGCUGCUUUGAGUGAGCCCUGCCCUCCACACCUGUCACAUUUGGGGCUGGCAUCACCAGCAGCUCCCCUGAGAGGCUGAACUGUGACAGAGUUCACAGGGGUCUGAUGAUGAGGGAAGAGAUGAGGAUCUGACUCCAUGUUUCAAUUUAUUAUAUUAUGAUAUAUAUUAUAUUAAAACUAUCCUAAAAUAUAGAAGAAAUUAUUUCCUCAGAAGGCCAGCUAAGAAUAGAAUAGGAAGGAAUGAUAACAAAGGUUUGUGGCUCGGACUCUCUGUCCAAGCCAGCUGACUGUGAUUGGCCAUUAAUUAGAAACAACUCUAUGAGACCAAUCACAGAUCCACCUGUUGCAUUCCACAGCAGCAGAUAAUCAUUGUUCACAUUUUGUUCCUGAGGCCUCUCAGCUUCUCAGGAGGAAAAAUACUAAG